Molecule: non-coding RNA, 547 nt
Organism: Camellia sinensis
Lineage: Eukaryota; Viridiplantae; Streptophyta; Magnoliopsida; Ericales; Theaceae
Source: RefSeq, a predicted model, not a curated record
AUCAAUGGCGCCUGAGAUGAGAAGCUGCAGCAUCAACCAAGAUGAAGAUGAAGAUGAAGAUGAAGAUGGAGUCUUGAAAAUUCCAUUAAUUAAAUCAGUGGAUAAGCGAUUUUACCAGAGUAUUGAUGAUGUCUUGUGUUUUGCCUUGUAAGCCCGUCUAUGAAGCUCCACAUCCAAGUGCUCUAGCCAAGCUGGACUCAAAUUUGAAAAGGGCGGGCCACUGCGGGCGUUAUGGCAUCCUUAGUACCUGCCAGCUUCAGCAUGAUGCAUUUUUAAAUGCGUCAUUGGUCUUGUUCUCUCAAUUUUGGCACUUUGGAAGCAUUCUCAUUGGAUAUGUAUUAAAAAUAUUUGUUAAAGUGCAUUAUACGACAAAAAGUCGUAGUAUUCAAAAUUUGUGUUGCAUUUUGUAUCUAAUUCAUUCUUAGACCAUUCACAUUGUAUUAGUCAAAAAAUAUUUGUUAAAAUGUGUUAUAUGACAAAAAGUAAUAAAAGUGAGAUAUGUAUCAAAAUUUGUAUAUGGGUGCUCCAAUAUAGUUGUAUUCUCCAG